This is a long non-coding RNA of Anolis carolinensis (green anole), 2622 nucleotides long. Lineage: Eukaryota; Metazoa; Chordata; Lepidosauria; Squamata; Anolidae. The record is from Ensembl.
UACAAUGAGGAGGCCCGAGGAGGCGGAGAAGGAAAAGGCGGGAAAACGCCUCAGCCGCAGGAAGCGGAAACGAAGGUUGCCUCGACGCCGAUGGAUCACAGGAGGUGAAAGAGAGACGCGCGAGACUUAAAAAAAAAACAGACGAGUCACGUGGUACGCGGGAGCCAAUCCAAGAUGAGGACAGAGGAAAAAACAGCGCCUGGGAGCAGAAUCACAUGGGCUUCGAAGAACCAAUCGGAACUAGGAAGAUUUCCGGGCGCCAAUCAGAGUAAGACAGAGAAAUAUUUACUAGGCAGACUGUGACGCUGAGUUCGGGGGGAAAAAAGGUGAGCCCGCUGAGCCAAUCGUAAUCAAGCAGUUCUGCGCGAGCCAAUCAGAGAUAGAAAGAGCCGCGGCUGGAGAAAAACAACGCACAAUAUGAGGCUGAGCGAGCGAAACAGAUGGGGCGGGGCUCUGACGUCACGCUCGUGGGUGUGACCAAAGCGUAGGGAGGACGGUUUGGUUUUCUCGCUCCCUCAUAAGUUCCGCUUCCGGUUUGAAGCGGAAAAGGAACACACGGUGAGGGGACUGGUUGCCUAGCUGUCGCGGGAAAGGCACGAUGGAGCUGCGGGCGGAGCUGACAGGCCGCGGAGGGGAGAAGCGGCCUCUGCGGGUCCCUUGCGAGCCGCCGGGGGAGCUGCGGGGCCUCCUCGGGGGCUUGGCCCGCCUUCGGGAGGAAGUCAGCGCCCUCCUCAGCCCCCUGGUCCAACAGGAGAGCCGCGCCGGAGGAGGAGACCCUGCCGAGGAUGCAGGUGAUGAAGAUGAGGAUGAAGAUGAGGAAGAGAAUCACGUGAAUGCCAACCCAUGUCCUGACGGACCACCGCUAAAACGUACAAAAAUGCACUCCUGACGAAAGCUAAGCAUCUUUUUUUAAAGCCUUGGGACCAUUUUCCUCCACAAAGAGUUCUGGUCUAUUUUGAUAACUAGAUACAUACCCAGAUUUGUAUUGUUUUAUCAUUAAUUUAAUAAUAACUUAAUGAUGUAAAGGGAAAUGUAUUUUAUUUGUGAAUAUUGUCUAACAUUUCUAAACAAUUAAAGUGUGUGUGUUUGUAAGACUGAUUUUUUAAACAUGUUGAUUAUGAAAAAAUUCUUAACUUCAAGAAUAUUUUAGCACAUAGCAUUCACACCAUGGAAAAUCUGAAAAGCAGCUAGCCUUCUUCCAAGUUUUGAGUGGCGGAGUUGAGCAAGGAUCACUCAGGCCCCUUCCACACAGCUGAAAAAAAUCGCACAUUUUCUGUUUUGAACUGGAAUAUAUGGCAGUGUAGACUCAGAUAACCCAGUUCAAAACAGAUAUUCUGGGUUAUAUGGCUGUGUGGAAGGGCCCUCAUGUAUAAUGUGUGUGUGUCCCUCUACAUGGCUAAGGUUUUAGUAUUAUCUUUACCUUUCCUGCUAUGGAAAAAGGCAAAUGGAAAGAGGAUUUUCACUCCUCCCUUCAGUCUUUCUCUGAGGAAUGACCAGAUUCAGUGAGGGGUCAUUGGGUUCUGCUGCUUUUCUCAGCCCUGAAUUGCAGAUUGUAAUUUAAAAACAAUGAAAUUUAGAUUUAGGUCCAUGUAAGGGAGCUGAGAGAAGAAGUCUUCCUUGGCCCUCCUCCCCACAACAGCUCUUGAAAGUACUGCAUAGUUUGGAAUGCAGUACCAUAUUUUCCAGCAUAUAAGACAACUGGGCGUAUAAAGACAGCCCCAAACCUUUCCAGUUAAAUAUAGUUUGCUAUAUGCUCUCUGUAUUAGACUACCCCUCUUCCAUCACACAUCAAAUAAAAGACUUAUCAGAGUGGUAGCACAAACACGCCUCUUUCACCCGUCUAGCCUGCCCUUGUAUCCUAUUACUGUACCUCCUUCUGCCUCUCAGAUCUCGCAUGUGCGCCUGCCCCACUUCACUGCAGUCCUCAGGAGCGAGAACUGAGAGGCAGAGAAGGAGGUAUGGUAAUAGAAUACAAGGACGGACCAGAUGGGUGAAAGAGGCAUGUUUUUCUGGGUACAGCGCCACUCUAUCUUUUUUCCAUACCCUGGGCUUCCCAGACUCCUGCAUCUUGCUCCGCCCUUCACUUAUACCUUCCCAGUGAGGCGCCCCCUCACCUUGUCAUCGGGACUGUGUUAAGUCACGUCUUUCCACGAAUCCUGGUAAGUGGAUUUUCUUCUACCAUACUGGUACAGCACUGCCCUUGCUGCUUUCAUAUGGUUGCCGCAUAUGGCAGGAAUGUGGAUGCAGCCAUUUUUGAGCUGCCCCCACCAUAUUGGGCGACCACAAAUUCUCCAGUCCGGCUUGAAAGUUUCAGGACCUGCCCUAUAAGACUCCCGACUUUUGAGAUUUUCCUGGGUUAAAAAGUAGUCUUAUAUGCCAGAAAAUACAGUACUUUCAAUAGUUUGGAAUGGUGCUAUGUACAAUGCAAUGAUAUCACAUUAUUUUAAACUCGAUCAAAAGUAGGCAACCAACAUUAUUUGUAGUUGCUUGAAAUUCAUUUUUUUAAUUUAUAUGCUCAUCUCCUCCAGGGGGACCCAUUUUUCUAUCUUUGUUGUUUGCAACUUCUCUUUGGUGCCAUUACAGUAUCCAACAGUGACAGAAUAACAGCAUAAUGGUGAUUUG